Molecule: ribosomal RNA, 253 nt
Filed under: uncultured bacterium
Lineage: Bacteria
Description: partial 16S ribosomal RNA
Rfam family: Bacterial small subunit ribosomal RNA
Source: RNAcentral
UACAGUGGGGGCAAGCGUUAUUCGGAAUUAUUGGGCGUAAAGGGCGCGUAGGCGGCUUUGCAAGUGACGGGUGAAAUCCCUCGGCUUAACCGAGGAACUGCCUGUCAGACUGUGAGGCUUGAGACCGGGAGAGGUGAGUGGAAUUCCCAGUGUAGCGGUGAAAUGCGUAGAUAUUGGGAGGAACACCAGUGGCGAAGGCGGCUCACUGGACCGGAACUGACGCUGAGGCGCGAAAGCGUGGGGAGCAAACAGG